Molecule: unclassified non-coding RNA, 305 nt
Filed under: plant metagenome
Description: partial contains 5.8S ribosomal RNA, internal transcribed spacer 2, and large subunit ribosomal RNA
Rfam family: 5.8S ribosomal RNA (bases 1-105)
Source: RNAcentral
UAAAUGCGAUAAGUAAUGUGAAUUGCAGAAUUCAGUGAAUCAUCGAAUCUUUGAACGCACAUUGCGCCCGCCAGUAUUCUGGCGGGCAUGCCUGUUCGAGCGUCAUUUCAACCAUCAAGCCCCCGGCUUGUGUUGGGGACCUGCGGCUGCCCGCAGGCCCUGAAAAACAGUGGCGGGCUCGCUGUCACACCGAGCGUAGUAGCAUACAUUCUCGCUCAGGGCGUGCUGCGGGUUCCGGCCGUUAAACGACCUUCAUAACCCAAGGUUGACCUCGGAUCAGGUAGGAAGACCCGCUGAACUUAAGC